RNAcentral lists this ribosomal RNA (468 nucleotides) under uncultured bacterium. Its description in RNAcentral is "partial 16S ribosomal RNA". It matches the Rfam family "Bacterial small subunit ribosomal RNA", at positions 28 to 507 of the family's 1533-position model. The record is from RNAcentral.
GACUAACGCUGGCGGCGUGCUUAACACAUGCAAGUCGAACGGAAAGGCUCUGCUUUUGUGUUGUGCUCGAGUGGCGAACGGGUGAGUAACACGUGGGUAAUCUGCCCUUGGCUUUCUGAUAUCUUCAAGAGACUGGGGCUAAUACCGGAUAGGAGAUCCUGCUGCAUGUUGGUGUUUGGAAAGUGUAGGCGAUUGGGGAUGGACUCGCGGCUUAUCAGCUUGUUGGUGGUGUAGUGGCUUACGAAGGCUUUGACGACUAGCCGGCCUGAGAGGGUGACCGGCCACAGUGGGACUGAGAUACAGCCCAGACUCCUACGGGAGGCAGCAGUAGGAAAUAUUGCACAAUGGGCGUAAGCGUGAUGCAGCAACGCCGCGUGCGGGAGAUCGGCCUGCGGGUUGUAAACUGCUUUCGCUUGUGACAAAGAGUGAGUGACGGUAAUGUGUAAAGAAGCACCGGCUAACUACGUG